This 707-nucleotide long non-coding RNA is filed under the name Macaca mulatta (Rhesus monkey). RNAcentral's name for it is "lncRNA (ENSMMUG00000049952.1)". The record is from RNAcentral. Lineage: Eukaryota; Metazoa; Chordata; Mammalia; Primates; Cercopithecidae.
CCACGGUAGUAAUGAUGAUACUAGUGAAUAGCUAUUCUGUGCAUACCAUAUGCUAGGUACUGUUCAGUGGCUUUCUGUGCAUUCACUUCUUUAACCAGCACCUGAACUCUAGUGUUGCUUUUUGCCUUGAACCAGCUGCGGCCAAGUAGCAUGGUGCGCUCUGCCUGGGUCAGGCCUGCUAUCUGUGACUGCCUGCCCUUCCCUUUCCCUCUUCUUCAGUCCUCUCACUCGCUUUGGAAGGAAGCUGGUGUCAACACCCCAUCAGAGUCACAUGGAUUGAGCAAGACAACUGAAAGGGGGUGAAGGUUGGCUCUCCAAAGGGCAGACAAGCAUAUGUCUACCAACAUACAUAGUAGACCAUUCUAGAAAGGCAAUGGCUUCCUCAUUCAACAUCCAAAAUGCAGGAUGGUGCGGCUGGACAAAGCAGGAAUUAUUACCCUCAAAGCACUGUUAUUGUCCUCAUUUUAUAAAUGAGGCACAGAAAAGUUACCCCAGGCAUUUGUAAUGCAGACCUGCCACUCACCUGCAGUCUCACUCUAAAGGAGAGUGAUCCUCGCCACAUAAAUCUUCCCCAGAGGCCGAGAGGGUCUAUAUUUCAGAGUCACUUCCCUUCUGUGUCAGCUCUUAUUGAUGCAGAAAUUGGUGCCAGGGCAUAUGCUCUGAGCUCUUCAAGUCAGAAGGCCUUUAUGAUAGAAAUCUGGAAUUGA